UUUAUGGGGUGACUGCGUACCUUUUGUAUAAUGGGUCAGCGACUUAUAUUCUGUAGCAAGGUUAACCGAAUAGGGGAGCCGAAGGGAAACCGAGUCUUAACUGGGCGUUAAGUUGCAGGGUAUAGACCCGAAACCCGGUGAUCUAGCCAUGGGCAGGUUGAAGGUUGGGUAACACUAACUGGAGGACCGAACCGACUAAUGUUGAAAAAUUAGCGGAUGACUUGUGGCUGGGGGUGAAAGGCCAAUCAAACCGGGAGAUAGCUGGUUCUCCCCGAAAGCUAUUUAGGUAGCGCCUCGUGAAUUCAUCUCCGGGGGUAGAGCACUGUUUCGGCAAGGGGGUCAUCCCGACUUACCAACCCGAUGCAAACUGCGAAUACCGGAGAAUGUUAUCACGGGAGACACACGGCGGGUGCUAACGUCCGUCGUGAAGAGGGAAACAACCCAGACCGCCAGCUAAGGUCCCAAAGUCAUGGUUAAGUGGGAAACGAUGUGGGAAGGCCCAGACAGCCAGGAUGUUGGCUUAGAAGCAGCCAUCAUUUAAAGAAAGCGUAAUAGCUCACUGGUCGAGUCGGCCUGCGCGGAAGAUGUAACGGGGCUAAACCAUGCACCGAAGCUGCGGCAGCGACGCUUAUGCGUUGUUGGGUAGGGGAGCGUUCUGUAAGCCUGUGAAGGUGUACUGUGAGGUAUGCUGGAGGUAUCAGAAGUGCGAAUGCUGACAUAAGUAACGAUAAAGCGGGUGAAAAGCCCGCUCGCCGGAAGACCAAGGGUUCCUGUCCAACGUUAAUCGGGGCAGGGUGAGUCGACCCCUAAGGCGAGGCCGAAAGGCGUAGUCGAUGGGAAACAGGUUAAUAUUCCUGUACUUGGUGUUACUGCGAAGGGGGGACGGAGAAGGCUAUGUUGGCCGGGCGACGGUUGUCCCGGUUUAAGCGUGUAGGCUGGUUUUCCAGGCAAAUCCGGAAAAUCAAGGCUGAGGCGUGAUGACGAGGCACUACGGUGCUGAAGCAACAAAUGCCCUGCUUCCAGGAAAAGCCUCUAAGCAUCAGGUAACAUCAAAUCGUACCCCAAACCGACACAGGUGGUCAGGUAGAGAAUACCAAGGCGCUUGAGAGAACUCGGGUGAAGGAACUAGGCAAAAUGGUGCCGUAACUUCGGGAGAAGGCACGCUGAUAUGUAGGUGAAGCGACUUGCUCGUGGAGCUGAAAUCAGUCGAAGAUACCAGCUGGCUGCAACUGUUUAUUAAAAACACAGCACUGUGCAAACACGAAAGUGGACGUAUACGGUGUGACGCCUGCCCGGUGCCGGAAGGUUAAUUGAUGGGGUUAGCGGUAACGCGAAGCUCUUGAUCGAAGCCCCGGUAAACGGCGGCCGUAACUAUAACGGUCCUAAGGUAGCGAAAUUCCUUGUCGGGUAAGUUCCGACCUGCACGAAUGGCGUAAUGAUGGCCAGGCUGUCUCCACCCGAGACUCAGUGAAAUUGAACUCGCUGUGAAGAUGCAGUGUACCCGCGGCAAGACGGAAAGACCCCGUGAACCUUUACUAUAGCUUGACACUGAACAUUGAGCCUUGAUGUGUAGGAUAGGUGGGAGGCUUUGAAGUGUGGACGCCAGUCUGCAUGGAGCCGACCUUGAAAUACCACCCUUUAAUGUUUGAUGUUCUAACGUUGGCCCCUGAUCGGGGUUGCGGACAGUGUCUGGUGGGUAGUUUGACUGGGGCGGUCUCCUCCUAAAGAGUAACGGAGGAGCACGAAGGUUGGCUAAUCCUGGUCGGACAUCAGGAGGUUAGUGCAAUGGCAUAAGCCAGCUUGACUGCGAGCGUGACGGCGCGAGCAGGUGCGAAAGCAGGUCAUAGUGAUCCGGUGGUUCUGAAUGGAAGGGCCAUCGCUCAACGGAUAAAAGGUACUCCGGGGAUAACAGGCUGAUACCGCCCAAGAGUUCAUAUCGACGGCGGUGUUUGGCACCUCGAUGUCGGCUCAUCACAUCCUGGGGCUGAAGUAGGUCCCAAGGGUAUGGCUGUUCGCCAUUUAAAGUGGUACGCGAGCUGGGUUUAGAACGUCGUGAGACAGUUCGGUCCCUAUCUGCCGUGGGCGCUGGAGAACUGAGGGGGGCUGCUCCUAGUACGAGAGGACCGGAGUGGACGCAUCACUGGUGUUCGGGUUGUCAUGCCAAUGGCACUGCCCGGUAGCUAAAUGCGGAAGAGAUAAGUGCUGAAAGCAUCUAAGCACGAAACUUGCCCCGAGAUGAGUUCUCCCUGAGACUUUAAGUCUCCUGAAGGAACGUUGAAGACGACGACGUUGAUAGGCCGGGUGUGUAAGCGCAGCGAUGCGUUGAGCUAACCGGUACUAAUGAACCGUGAGGCUUAACCUU
This 2362-nucleotide ribosomal RNA is filed under the name Escherichia coli. RNAcentral describes it as "bacterial LSU rRNA". It matches the Rfam family "Bacterial large subunit ribosomal RNA", at positions 585 to 2925 of the family's 2925-position model. The record is from RNAcentral. Lineage: Bacteria; Pseudomonadati; Pseudomonadota; Gammaproteobacteria; Enterobacterales; Enterobacteriaceae.